CCUACGGGAGGCAGCAGUGGGGGAUAUUGCACAAUGGGGGAAACCCUGAUGCAGCGACGCCGCGUGGGUGAAGAAGCGCCUCGGCGCGUAAAGCCCUGUCAGCAGGGAAGAAAAUGACGGUACCUGAAGAAGAAGCCCCGGCUAACUACGUGCCAGCAGCCGCGGUAAUACGUAGGGGGCAAGCGUUAUCCGGAUUUACUGGGCGUAAAGGGGGCGCUGACGGCGAUGCAAGCCAGGAGUGAAAGCCCGGGGCCCAACCCCGGGACUGCUCGUGGAACUGCGUGGCUAGAGUGCAGGAGGGGCAGGCGGAAUUCCUGGUGUAGCGGUGAAAUGCGUAGAUAUCAGGAGGAACACCGGUGGCGAAGGCGGCCUGCUGGACUGCAACUGACGUUGAGGCCCGAAAGCGUGGGGAGCAAACAGGAUUAGAUACCCUUGUAGUC
This 440-nucleotide ribosomal RNA is filed under the name uncultured bacterium. RNAcentral's name for it is "partial 16S ribosomal RNA". It matches the Rfam family "Bacterial small subunit ribosomal RNA", at positions 338 to 795 of the family's 1533-position model. The record is from RNAcentral.